GAUGAACGCUGGCGGCGUGCCUAAUACAUGCAAGUCGAGCGAACAGACGAGGAGCUUGCUCCUCUGACGUUAGCGGCGGACGGGUGAGUAACACGUGGAUAGCCUACCUAUAAGACUGGGAUAACUUCGGGAAACCGGAGCUAAUACCGGAUAAUAUAUUGAACCGCAUGGUUCAAUAGUGAAAGACGGUUUUGCUGUCACUUAUAGAUGGAUCCGCGCCGCAUUAGCUAGUUGGUAAGGUAACGGCUUACCAAGGCAACGAUGCGUAGCCGACCUGAGAGGGUGAUCGGCCACACUGGAACUGAGACACGGUCCAGACUCCUACGGGAGGCAGCAGUAGGGAAUCUUCCGCAAUGGGCGAAAGCCUGACGGAGCAACGCCGCGUGAGUGAUGAAGGUCUUCGGAUCGUAAAACUCUGUUAUUAGGGAAGAACAAAUGUGUAAGUAACUAUGCACGUCUUGACGGUACCUAAUCAGAAAGCCACGGCUAACUACGU
This 496-nucleotide ribosomal RNA is filed under the name uncultured bacterium. RNAcentral describes it as "partial 16S ribosomal RNA". It matches the Rfam family "Bacterial small subunit ribosomal RNA", at positions 28 to 506 of the family's 1533-position model. The record is from RNAcentral.